Non-coding RNA from Zootermopsis nevadensis, 788 nucleotides. The record is from RefSeq and is a predicted model, not a curated record. NCBI's taxonomy places the organism in Eukaryota, Metazoa, Arthropoda, Insecta, Blattodea, Termopsidae.
GUGUUCUGAAACACUACAACAAAAGACUGUCUAAUUCUUUUUUACAUUAGUCUAUCGACUAGAGGCUCCUCACCUUGGAGACCUGUUGCGGAUAUGGGUACGAACCUGCGCGACACCUCAUAUUACAUAUCUUGCAUUCAGAAAUGUUGUUAUUUUAUCUGAGAUUUGGGUAUCUCAUAGUGGUGAAGGUGUCAGUUGAAUCAGUAGUGUUCUGGAUUGUAUGUGACCGAUGAUACUGCAUGGAGUCACGACCCCGAAGAUAAGAUUUUUGUGGUGUUUGGGAAAAGUCUACUAUUUUCAGAAAAUAAAGUCACCUUUUCUUCAAGUCAAAAUAUUGACAGGUUUUUUAUUAUUUCUCUGUUUCAAGAUUAAUGACAGCACUUACUACUGAACCUAGGAUCUUUUGUAUACUAAACUAAUACUAUAAGCAGUAGAAUAAUUUAUAUAGUGACUUAGGAAAGAUUCCUUUUCGUUAAAUAGUGCCAGUUUCACCUCUGAGUCAGUGCUUGACUGGACUUGAAAGUUAGUAAUUCAACUUUUAUUUUGUGCUUUUGAAAUGUUUCUUAUAGGUGUCCCUUGCGUGAAGCUGUGCAAGUAACAGCUGAUUUGGUGCACAGCUUACAGUUCAACUAUCAGACCCUUUCACGAUUGGAAGGAUGCACUGGACCAGAUGUAUGUUAUGUUGAACAGGCUCAAGACACACUUGCACAUAUUCAAAAGCUUGGUAUUCCAGCUGUAGCUGUCAAAUGGUAAACAAUGAUGUUAAAUAAAUAUGCACUUUAAUAACA